RNAcentral lists this ribosomal RNA (443 nucleotides) under uncultured bacterium. RNAcentral's name for it is "partial 16S ribosomal RNA". It matches the Rfam family "Bacterial small subunit ribosomal RNA", at positions 338 to 795 of the family's 1533-position model. The record is from RNAcentral.
CCUACGGGGGGCAGCAGUGGGGAAUAUUUGGCAAUGGGCGCAAGCCUGACCCAGCAACGCCGCGUGAAGGAAGAAGGCUUUCGGGUUGUAAACUUCUUUUCUCAGGGACGAAGCAAGUGACGGUACCUGAGGAAUAAGCCACGGCUAACUACGUGCCAGCAGCCGCGGUAAUACGUAGGUGGCAAGCGUUAUCCGGAUUUACUGGGUGUAAAGGGCGUGUAGGCGGGAGUGCAAGUCAGAUGUGAAAACCACGGGCUCAACCUGUGGCCUGCAUUUGAAACUGUAGUUCUAGAGUAAUGGAGAGGCAGACGGAAUUCCUAGUGUAGCGGUGAAAUGCGUAGAUAUUAGGAGGAACACCAGUGGCGAAGGCGGUUUGCUGGACAGCAACUGACGCUGAGGCGCGAAGGCGUGGGGAGCGAACAGGAUUAGAUACCCUUGUAGUC